CCCUUAGAUGUCCUGGGCUGCACGCGCGCUACACUGAUGUGUCCAGUAAGCACCUAACCUCUUCCGAAAGGAACGGGUAACCUUUGCAAAGCACAUCGUGAUGGGGAUAGAUUAUUGCAAUUAUUAGUCUUGAACGAGGAAUUCCUAGUAAGCACAAGUCAUCAGCUUGUGUUGAUUACGUCCCUGCCCUUUGUACACACCGCCCGUCGCUCCUACUGAUUGAGUGUCUCGGUGAAUUCUUUGAUCUUCUGUCGAUUCAGUUCACUGAUCCGACGGUGGAAAGUUGAAUGAACUUCGUCACUUAGAGGAAGGAGAAGUCGUAACA
RNAcentral lists this ribosomal RNA (325 nucleotides) under uncultured eukaryote. Its description in RNAcentral is "partial 18S ribosomal RNA". It matches the Rfam family "Eukaryotic small subunit ribosomal RNA", at positions 1470 to 1796 of the family's 1831-position model. The record is from RNAcentral.